Non-coding RNA from Pelobates cultripes (western spadefoot toad), 85 nucleotides. The record is from the annotation of a GenBank genome assembly. Lineage: Eukaryota; Metazoa; Chordata; Amphibia; Anura; Pelobatidae.
CGGCACUCCAGAUGUUUUGGACUACACCUCCCAUGAAGCUUUGCCAGCAUUAUGGGGGAUGUAGUCCUAAACAUCUGGAGUGCCG